This 85-nucleotide transfer RNA is filed under the name Alkanindiges illinoisensis. RNAcentral describes it as "tRNA-Leu". It matches the Rfam family "tRNA". From Rfam's summary of the family: Transfer RNA (tRNA) molecules are approximately 80 nucleotides in length. Lineage: Bacteria; Pseudomonadati; Pseudomonadota; Gammaproteobacteria; Moraxellales; Moraxellaceae. RNAcentral also lists the same sequence under 1 other name. The record is from RNAcentral.
GGGGGCGUGGCGGAAUUGGUAGACGCACUGGAUUUAGGUUCCAGCGCCGCAAGGUGUAAGAGUUCGAGUCUCUUCGCCCCCACCA